RNAcentral lists this ribosomal RNA (612 nucleotides) under Rhaptothyreus typicus. RNAcentral describes it as "eukaryotic LSU rRNA". It matches the Rfam family "Eukaryotic large subunit ribosomal RNA", at positions 343 to 966 of the family's 3401-position model. The record is from RNAcentral. Lineage: Eukaryota; Metazoa; Nematoda; Rhaptothyreida; Rhaptothyreidae.
UACAAGUACCGUGAGGGAAAGUUGAAAAGUACUUUGAAGAGAGAGUUAAACAGGACGUGAAACCGCUGCAAAGGAAACAGAUGGAACUGUAUUUUGUUGCUUGAUCAGCGAGCUCUGCUCGUGUAUUCUUGUGACUUUGUCAGUUGGAUUUUUUGGUGUGUUGAUGCGAGAGCAGUUCAACAUUGUUGGCUUCUCGUUCCCUUCCCACCAAUUCAUUCAUGUUCGGUUUGUCACAAACGUUUGCCUUUCGAAGUUCAAAUGCUUGCAUUUGUUCUCGAUUGGUUUUCGUGAAUGUGAAUCGGCACUGACAACGACGCGGUUUUAUCUGACCCGUCUUGAAACACGGACCAAGGAGUCUAGCAUAGAUGCGAGUCUGGCACUUUUAAAGUGUGUGGCGCAAUGAAGGUAAUCGUUUGCUUUGCUUGUCUGGCUUACGACUAUUGAGCAUCUAUGUUGGUACCCGAAAGAUGGUGAACUAUGCCUGAGCAGGAUGAAGCCAGAAGAAACUCUGGUGAAAGUCCGAAGCGGUUCUGACGUGCAAAUCGAUCGUCAGACUUGGGUAUAGGGGGCGAAAGACUAAUCGAACCAUCUAGUAGCUGGUUCCUAUCGCAA